GGGUCAAUGAUGAGACCAUAUCUUCUGGAAGACAAAUGAUGACAUAAAAAUAAUGCUUAACAGGAUUACACUGAGGCAC
This is a small nucleolar RNA of Choloepus didactylus (southern two-toed sloth), 79 nucleotides long. RefSeq annotates it as small nucleolar RNA SNORD115. The record is from RefSeq and is a predicted model, not a curated record. Lineage: Eukaryota; Metazoa; Chordata; Mammalia; Pilosa; Megalonychidae. The transcript has a single exon.